This is a non-coding RNA of Cinara cedri, 476 nucleotides long. The record is from the annotation of a GenBank genome assembly. NCBI's taxonomy places the organism in Eukaryota, Metazoa, Arthropoda, Insecta, Hemiptera, Aphididae.
CAUAAUUAAUUUAUGAUUUGAAAUUGAAGUGAGGGCGAUAUUAAAAUCUACAGGGCUCACGGCCUACCCGGACACCCAUGAGGCGAUAACAUAAUUUAUAUUAUUGUGAUGAUAAUGCGGACUGUGCAAUAUCACUGUAUUAGUUGUAAUUUUCUAAAAGCAGGAAAAUCACAAAAAAUUAGAAAUGAUAUUCAUAUGUAACAAUAUACUCGUAUACCUUCUAUCUAGUAAUAAAAUAAAAAUAAUAGGAAAAUUGUAUUUAUCUUUCCCAUUGACAGAAACCACUUUGGGACUAUUAAAAAUUGAAUUCAUCAAAAUUUUCAUGAAAUUUUGGGAGGGAUGGGUGAACCCCUAAAACCCACCUUACAAACAUGCCUGAUUAAGUCACUCCAACUGAAAAUUGCUUUUAUGAAAUUAAGUCAAUUUUAAUCACUUAUAUAAAAAUGGAGUUACUUAUGUAUAGCUAAAACUUGUGU